CAGCGUUCCUCCCGCCUCCACGGCGCCGAGCCCUGAUUGACGUUCAGCCAGGCCAAUCAUAGCCUCAGUGUCUGAGGCGCGCGGAGCUGGAGGGCCCAGGGCACGUCCGCGGAUACCAAGGAGGCAAUCUGUCAGGCGCCGCCGCCCGGGCGGCAGUAUACCUGAGGGUGUCCUCCGUGUUCGCGCCUCCCGCCGCCUGCACUGAAAGGUCUGUACCUGAGCCUGGAUACUUGAACAGAGGCAGACACUGCGGCUCAAAACCCCAAGGAAUAUCCUAGCUCUGAGACAAAAAUUGGGAACCUCAGCAUGAGUUUGUCACCUGAAUGAAAUUAAAAAAAUCACGUUGAAGGCUGGGUGCAGUAACACGUGCCUGUAGUCCCAGCUACUCUGGAGGCUGAGUCAGGAGGAUCACUUGAGACCAGAAGUUCAGGAAUUCAAGACUGGCUUGAGCAACAUAGCAAGACUUCAUUUCAAAACAAACAGAAAAAAACCACCACCUUCAGUAUUUCUUGCCAAAGCAAAGGAGCCAUUUGUUCUUUACGAUGGUCAGGAAAGGAAGCAUCAAGGUCAUCAAAUGAAAAAUUUUCAGCAUUUCAGCCUCUCUGCUCAGGGAAAUAUCUGAAUCUAGAAUAUCACAACAUAAGCCAAAACCGCCCCAUUUCUCAUGCCACAUGUCACUCUUAACACAAGGUUACUCAACCUCGAGCAUGGUUGGCAUUUGGGGCUGAAUAAUUCUUUUUUGUAGGGGGCUGUCCUGGGCAUUGUAGGAUGCUCAUGAGCUACCUCAGUCUCUACCACCCACUAGAUGCCAGUAGCAUUGACCCCUGAUCUCUCUACCCAAGUUGUGACAACUAAAACCAUCUCUGGAUAAUGGAGGAACCUUAAAUGCAUAUUGCUAAGGAAAAGCCAAUCUGAAAGGAUUACAUAUCGUAUGAGUCCAACUAUAUGGUAAUCUGGAAAAGGCAAAACCAUGGAGACAGUAAAAAGGUAGUGGUUACCAGUGGUCCAUGGGAAGGAUUGGAUGAAUAGGUGGAGCACAAAGGAUUUUUAAGGCAGUGAAACUAUUCUGAAUGAUACUGUAAUGGUGGUUACAUGUCAUACCUUUGUCAAAACCAAUAAAAUAUAACAACCAAUAAAACUGCACAAAGAGUGAACCCUAAUGUAAACUAUGGACUUAAUAAUGUAUCAAUAUUGGCUCACCAAUUUUAACAAAUGUACCACACUAAUGCAAGAUGUUACUAAUAGUGGAAACUGGAGGGAAGAGGGCUUGAGGGGACAUAUGGGAACUCUCUGUAAUUCCUGUUCAGUUUUUCUGUAACUGUUAAACUGUCCAAAAAAAGUCUGUUUUUAUAAAUGGAGGCAUGGUUUU
RNAcentral lists this long non-coding RNA (1369 nucleotides) under Pan troglodytes (chimpanzee). RNAcentral's name for it is "long non-coding RNA NONPTRT014588". Lineage: Eukaryota; Metazoa; Chordata; Mammalia; Primates; Hominidae. The record is from RNAcentral.